RNAcentral lists this ribosomal RNA (119 nucleotides) under Capitella teleta. The record is from RNAcentral. Lineage: Eukaryota; Metazoa; Annelida; Polychaeta; Capitellidae.
GUCUACAGCCAUACCACGUUGAAAACACCGGUUCUCGUCUGAUCACCGAAGUUAAGCAACGUCGGGCCCGGUUAGUACUUGGAUGGGUGACCACCUGGGAAUACCGGGUGCUGUAGACU